GCGCGAGUAGUAAACCGGCUAAUACGCCGUCUAUCCAAGACGGAGACUGAGGUUCGACUCCUCACUCGCGCUCCA
Molecule: transfer RNA, 75 nt
Filed under: Bacteroides sp.
Lineage: Bacteria; Pseudomonadati; Bacteroidota; Bacteroidia; Bacteroidales; Bacteroidaceae
Description: tRNA-Gly
Source: RNAcentral